RNAcentral lists this transfer RNA (77 nucleotides) under Candidatus Hydrogenedentota bacterium. Its description in RNAcentral is "tRNA-Met". It matches the Rfam family "tRNA". Rfam says of the family: Transfer RNA (tRNA) molecules are approximately 80 nucleotides in length. RNAcentral also lists the same sequence under 1 other name. Lineage: Bacteria; Pseudomonadati; Candidatus Hydrogenedentota. The record is from RNAcentral.
GGGCCCUUAGCUCAGCCGGUCAGAGCAGGUGACUCAUAAUCACUUGGUCGCAGGUUCGAAUCCUGCAGGGCCCACCA